AAAUUGAAGAGUUUGAUCAUGGCUCAGAUUGAACGCUGGCGGCAGGCCUAACACAUGCAAGUCGAACGGUAGCACAGAGAGCUUGCUCUCGGGUGACGAGUGGCGGACGGGUGAGUAAUGUCUGGGAAACUGCCUGAUGGAGGGGGAUAACUACUGGAAACGGUGGCUAAUACCGCAUAACGUCGCAAGACCAAAGAGGGGGACCUUCGGGCCUCUUGCCAUCAGAUGUGCC
RNAcentral lists this ribosomal RNA (232 nucleotides) under Salmonella enterica subsp. enterica serovar Infantis. RNAcentral's name for it is "partial 16S ribosomal RNA". It matches the Rfam family "Bacterial small subunit ribosomal RNA", at positions 1 to 231 of the family's 1533-position model. The record is from RNAcentral. RNAcentral also lists the same sequence under 4 other names. Lineage: Bacteria; Pseudomonadati; Pseudomonadota; Gammaproteobacteria; Enterobacterales; Enterobacteriaceae.